RNAcentral lists this transfer RNA (72 nucleotides) under Camelus bactrianus (Bactrian camel). It matches the Rfam family "tRNA". From Rfam's summary of the family: Transfer RNA (tRNA) molecules are approximately 80 nucleotides in length. RNAcentral also lists the same sequence under 1 other name. The record is from Rfam by way of RNAcentral. Lineage: Eukaryota; Metazoa; Chordata; Mammalia; Artiodactyla; Camelidae.
GUAGGUAUAGCUCAGUGAUAGAGCACGUGCUUAGCAUGCAUAAGGUCUUGGGUUUAAUUCCCAGUACUUCUA